AUAACUUACCCUUAGGACUGGGAUAACUCUGGGAAACUGGGGAUAAUACCGGAUAUUAGGCUAUGCCUGGAAUGGUUUGCCUUUGAAACGUUCUUUUCGCCUAAGGAUAGAUCUGCGGCUGAUUAGGUCGUUGGUGGGGUAAUGGCCCACCAAGCCUAUGAUCGGUACGGGUUGUGAGAGCAAGAGCCCGGAGAUGGAACCUGAGACAAGGUUCCAGACCCUACGGGGUGCAGCAGGCGCGAAACCUCCACAAUGUACGAAAGUGCGAUGGGGGAAUCCCAAGUGUUAUUCUUAACAGAAUAGCUUUUCAUUAGUGUAAAAAGCUUUUAGAAUAAGAGCUGGGCAAGACCGGUGCCAGCCGCCGCGGUAACACCGGCAGCUCGAGUGGUAGCUGUUUUUAUUGGGCCUAAAGCGUUCGUAGCCGGUUUGAUUAGUCUUUGGUGAAAGCUUGUAGCUAAACUAUAAGAAUUGCUGGAGAUACUAUCAGACUUGAAGUCGGGAGAGGUUAGAGGUACUACCGGGGUAGGGGUGAAAUCCUAUAAUCCUGGGAGGACCACCUGUGGCGAAAGCGUCUAACUAGAACGAUCUUGACGGUGAGUAACGAAAGCCAGGGGCGCGAACCGGAUUAGAUACCCGGGUAGUCCUGGCCGUAAACGAUGUGGACUUGGUGUUGGAAUGGCUUCGAGUUGUUCCAGUGCCGAAGGGAAGCUGUUAAGUCCACCGCCUGGGAAGUACGGUCGCAAGACUGAAACUUAA
This 756-nucleotide ribosomal RNA is filed under the name uncultured archaeon. RNAcentral's name for it is "bacterial SSU rRNA". It matches the Rfam family "Archaeal small subunit ribosomal RNA", at positions 104 to 859 of the family's 1478-position model. The record is from RNAcentral.